AUUAAAAAGAGAGAAAAAAGGAAAUCGUUUGAAAAUUUGAAAGAGUGAAUACACUGUAGUAGACUAAAAUAAAAUGAUGGAAGGAAAUAGAAUCUGAAAAAAUUUACAAAAAAGCAAAAAAUAUAGUAAAAAAAUUCAAGAAAAAUAUUUUAAUAGAAAUUGAAAGUAAAAAUGAAGUUUUUCUCUUUCUGCAUUCAAGAAAAAGAAAAGAAACAAAAAAGAGAAAAAAGAAAAAGGAAGAAAAAAGGAUCAUUUGAAAAUUUGAAAAGGUGAAUACAGUGAAGUAGACUCAAAUGAAAUGAUGGAAGUAAAAUAGAAUUUGAAAAAGUUUACACAAAAGUAAAAAAUAUAGUAAUAAAAAUGAAAGAAAAAUAUUUUUAAUAAAAAUUGAAAAUAAAAAUAAAUUUUUUCUCUUUCUGUAUUCAAGAAAAAGAAAAGAAGUGUAAAAGAGAAAAAAAAAAGAACAAAAGAAAAUUGAAUAGAUGGACCUGCUAACAGAUUGAAGUAGCACUGAAAUUAUUUCGUUUUCCCCUAGAAGUCAGUCUAUGUAGCACUUUAUAGUCCAUUAACCAAGCCGGCCUUGAGACUCGUGUUCUUGAGAGCAAAGUUGGCCCAGUUGGGCAGGGCUCAGUGUAACGUUUGCGUUCUCCACUAGAUGGCGCUGCUAGCCUACUGGGGUGGAUUGUUGCUGCACUUGUAGGUGUGUAUGCGCAUGUGCAGGAGCAAUGAAAAUGGCUCCCCCCAGCUGCACAGUCUGUUCUCCUGAAUCAGCAAUCGCGCAUCUGUUUUCUGUCUUCAGCUUUCAUCCACUCCCUGCUUUUUCACCCUCCGUGACCAGGCCCCAGGCAGUAUCUCUCUCCCAAGUUUUUUCUCAGUUGCAGCUGUUUUCCCUGGCCCCUUACUUCUGAAGGACUGCAGCUUUGCCCUGUUCUGCCCUUCUGCGGGAGGAUCUCACCGAGCAUUGGCUGAAUGAGCAAUGGCGGAAUAUUGGCUGCACCCAGGAAUGCUUGCUGGACCCUGCUACUGCCAGUGCCCUGAGACUAUGGCCAGAUGUCAGCUGGCCCCAGAAAAAGUUCAUGAGAUAGUGUAGCAGCAGCGUUUCAGGGAUUAUGGAAAAUCACAACACACAUCUGGCACCAGGCUUCACCCUUAAUGACCUUGUUCCAGCACCAGCGAAUGUGGCCAUUCUCUGGGGUCUGCUGGGACCAGGUGGCUUCAACAGUCUCUACCAAAUGUCCUUCCAGCAGUGCAACGGCUUUUCCAGACCCCACUCUGUUCCUGGGGAUUCGCCCUUCCCACCAGAGCACCGCCAGUAUUGAGUAACCCCCGUUGGGUAUAAGAAGAGUCUCCAGAGGGCGUGAAGGACAUUGCCAUCCCCAAAUCCAGAGUCAUUUCCAUUGGCAGCCAAAAGAAGGAACCAACAACCUGCACGUUCCGAGCAGGAAGAAAGCCAAGCUCAGUUCCACAAAACAAGUGAGAAGACAAGUGAGAAAACAAGUGAGAAGGCAAUAUCUAUCUCGGGGAGAGAAAAGGUUAUAAAACUAAGAGUAGAAGUCCUAAAAAUGGAGAAUACAGAAGAGAAGGAACGUCCUGGCUCUCGGAGUUACUAUUUUGAAGAGAGUUGCCCAGGAGAGCCACAGAACCAGAUAUAUUCAUAUUAUCAUUUGCAGGAGUGAGGAAUACCAAGCAGUUCUGCUAACCAUGGAGAUGUAGGAGUCACUUUUUAUCAAAGUCUAAGUUAAUUACACUUCUCAAUGCAGAAAGUACUGCCUAAAAAUGAAAAUGAAGUACUGUAAACAAGAAAAUGUGUGGUUUGGUUUAGAGAUUAGGUAAUAGACAUGACAAAACAGAUAAAACUGUCUACAAAUAUGGACAUCGAUAAUAAGCAGAGAAACAUUUGCUAAAACUGUUGCCUUUAUGAUCAUUUGCAAAGCAUAUCAUAUGUCCUAAACAGACUGUAGAUCUUAAGGAAUUGAUUUGAGAAGAGAGCAUUCAUUGAAUCUAUUAUUGACAUUCUAUUAAAAACUAUUCAUUUUCAAAAUAAUCGUUCACCUUUUUUUUCUGGCAUAAAUCAAAAUAAAUAAAAACUCCCCAAAAUGGGCAAUUAUCAGAGUUUUAAAAAGUGACAUUUUCUAAGCCAAGAAUCAGCCCACCAAACUGUUUUUUGUAAACACAGUUUUAUUGGAAGACAGCCAUACUAAUUCAUUAUGUAUUGUCUAUGGCUUCUUUGUGCUACAAGGCACCAUUGAGUAAUUGUGAGAAGACCAUAUAGCCCCUGAACCCUAAAAUAUUUACAAUAUAGCCCUUCACAGAACAGAUGUGACAAUCACUUUUCUAGACCACCCAAGAGAAGAGAUGAAAUUAAAUACAGUUUUAGCACAAAGGAAUAGUGCAAUUUC
Neofelis nebulosa (Clouded leopard) is the source of this 2399-nucleotide long non-coding RNA. RefSeq lists it as uncharacterized. NCBI's taxonomy places the organism in Eukaryota, Metazoa, Chordata, Mammalia, Carnivora, Felidae. The record is from RefSeq and is a predicted model, not a curated record. The transcript has 3 exons.